ACUCCUACGGGAGGCAGCAGUGGGAAUAUUGGACAAUGGGGCACCCGUAGCAUCCAGCCAUGCCGCGUGUAUGAAGAAGGCCCUCGGGUUGUAAAGUACUUUCAGUGGUGAGGAAGGUUGCGUGGUUAAUACCCACGUAAUUUGACGUUAGCCACAGAAGAAGCACCGGCUAACUCCGUGCCAGCAGCCGCGGUAAUACGGAGGGUGCAAGCGUUAAUCGGAAUUACUGGGCG
RNAcentral lists this ribosomal RNA (233 nucleotides) under uncultured bacterium. RNAcentral describes it as "partial 16S ribosomal RNA". It matches the Rfam family "Bacterial small subunit ribosomal RNA", at positions 335 to 560 of the family's 1533-position model. The record is from RNAcentral.